GUGAAGAGGACUUAAGUAAAAACUAAGCAUCGACGCUAUGCACUGAGGAGCACUAGGAGGAGGAGGAAUCAUAAAAGAGUCACCAUGCCUUCUGUCUUCUCAAGAAACCUCAGUCGUUCCUGUGACUCCAUUCUGUUAGCCACACAAUGGCAUCCAGAGCUAAGUGACAAGAUGCAGUUUCCUCAGAAAGCCAAGAGGAAAAAAAUGGUGUGUUUGUGUGUGACUCUACAUGUGUGAAAGUCCAGAGACCAAAAGAAGUAACAGGAUUUCUUGAAGCUAGAGUUACAGGAAGAUGUGAGACGUGGGUGCUGAGAACCAAACCCAAGUCUUCUGGAAGUGAAGCAUGUGUCUUUGGCUGCUGGGCCAUCUCUCCAGUACAAAUUGUAUAAUUUAAAAAUCAGAAGAUGGAAGAAACUCCCAUGCUCAUGGAUUGGCAGGAUUAAUACAGUAAAAAUGGCUAUCUUGCUAAAAGCAAUCUACAGAUUCAAUGCAAUCCCCAUCAAAAUGCCAACUCAAUUCUUCACUUAGUUUGAAAGGGCAAUUUGCAAAUUCAUCUGGAAUAACAAAAAACAUAGGAUAACGAAAACUAUUCUCAACAAUAAAAGAACUUCUAGUGGAAUCACCAUUCCUGACCUCAAGCUGUACUACAGAGCAAUUGUGGUAAAAAGCUGCAUGGUAUUGGUACAAUGACAGACAGGUAGAUGAAUGGAAUGGAAUUGAAGACCCAGAAAUUAACCUACACACCUAUGGUCACUUACUCUUUGACAAGGGAGCUAAAACCAUCCCGUGGAAAAAAGAGAGCAUUUUCAACAAAUGGUGCUGAAAAUUGAACAUAGUACUAUCGGAAGAUGCAGUCUCACAACUUUUCUACUAAUUCAAAUUCAAAGAAAACAUACAAAUAGAGCCUUUAUUAUCUGGAAGUAGAACCUCAUGAUCACAGGCACUACCUUAGAGGAAUCUUGUUUCUUUCUGCUUCUGUGUCUACCAUAGAUUACUAGCAUACUGAACCAGGCUCAGGGCAAAUGGGUAAUUAAUAGUUAACACUUAGUCACUUAAACAGAUUAAGUCCAAGAAAAUGUGAAUUCAUACUAAAACACACCAAUCUACACAGAAAUGUACCACUGGAGGGAAGGAACAAAGUAAAUAAGCAAUAUUUUUGAGAUCCACAUAUUUCAGAUAUUAAUUUUCUCUAUGUCAAAACAUUGUGUAUUUAUGGUAGACACCUUCGAAGGGACUAUGGUAGGACACUUAUCUGUCAUGAGCAGGGUGUUGGAUCCUAUCUUCAGAACUGUAAGCAACAGCAACAAUAACAACAAAACUUUCAAAAAACAUAAUUGAAAGCAAAACACGAUCAAGAAACAAAAGAUUAUAAAAAAUACUUGAGAUAUUUUUAAAAGAACCAAGUAGGUAUUUUAUGUUAAAAUAUAAUUAAUGAAGACUGGAGAGAUUUCUCAAUGGUUAGGAAAACUUGCUGCUCUUGAAGAGGACCCAGGUUCAGUUCCCAACACUGGGUAGUUCACAGAAUCCUAUAAUUCCAGUUUACCGCUUAUGACCCCUGGAGCACCCACAAACCAGUGCAUAUACAUAUAGAGAAAUACACAUAAACACUAAAUCUUGAAAUUUUAUUUUAAAAUGUAUUUACAAUGUUAUAAAUAAUAUCAUAUUUUGAAAUUCUUCCUCUACAACUAAUUAGUAGAUUUAUAUUGUUAGUUUACAUUUGGACUUAAGUUAUCAUUUGACAAUGGAAAUGCAUUCUGGUACAGUGAUUUUCCUAUACAUAGCGUUUUUAAAAAUUAAAGAGAAAAAUAAACAUGAAACCACCUGCAGAUCCUUUAAUUUAUAAUGCUAUCUUGCCUGCUCUAUGCUAGGUGGUGCAAAGCUUGUGGAAAUAACUAACCCAUAUCUGAUUUGACUUGAUGCCCACUCCACAAGAUGAAACCCAUACCUGACAUUGCUUAGGUAACAAAAACAUACAAAAAUUAAAAAUUAAAGAAGAAAUUUAACAAAAACAUUAAAAAAUUAAAGAAGAAAUUUAGAAUAUAUUAAAUAUAUUAUUAAACACAAAAUAAUAUUAAGCUAGAAUAUAGCUUAAAGAGGAAUCUAAAUAUGUCAAUAAUUCUAAUGAAUGUAAACAGUUUAAACUUUCCAAUUGAAAGGCAGAGAUUGCCAUUUUUAACAGAAGGAAACAAUAUGAGAAGACUGUUGUAUGGAAAAUAUAAGGUGUCACCAAGGUUGCCUAUGACACACUAUGACCUUAGGAUGUGCCAUUCACUACUGUGUUGUAGAGCAUCAAAAGCUUUAUAAAUAUUUAGCAAAUGAAUUUAUGAAGACAAGUUGUUGAAUUCAGAGUGCACAAUAGAAUUUCAUCACAUUAAGAGAAAAAUCUACGUUUGAAUAAGUAGAGUAGACUUUAAAGCAGGACUGAUGUGUACCAGUCACCCCAGUGAAACACCAUGGGUUACUUACAAAGACAGCUGUGAAGAUUUCAGUCCAUGUCAGCGUGGCUUCUUGGGCAUACUCAAGACAGCACCAUGACUAAAGAGUUCACUAAACUAUCCAAGAAGCAAAGGAAGGGACCAUUGUUCCACAGUCCCUAAGGGCUACUAGCAAGCUGUACUUCCAAAAGUUUCCAUCAGCUCUCAGUAGUGUCCUGUGAAGAUGAAACUUUUAAUGUGUGUGGCUUUACAGCCAAGAUCUAACCACAGCUAGAUGGAAAUACAGGAGGCAGAGGGGUUGUUGGCAGGCAGCACCUAAUGUUGGCCUCAUUCAUACAGCAAAUAUGGUAACCACAGUACUAGCCAGAGUACCAACUCAACACUACACUCAAAAUACUACAUUCAAUUCAUGAACAUUUUUCCUAAAGAAUUAAGUACCAGAAAAAGGUAAUAAAAGAAGAGAACUGAAAUGUUAGGUACAGGGAAUAAUGAGGGACUCUAAUCCUUUCCCUUGUGAUGCUGUUUAUAAUCCCUGCUGUGUGUUGACAAACAUAUGUGGCUUCACUCCUCACACACCUUCGAAUGCAAGAUAAGGCUAACACCUUGUUUACCCUCUGAUGACUGAUUCUCAGUUCUCCAUGUUUUUCCUGAGGAGUUAGUGCUUCUGUUUAUAAUGGAUGACAGGUUUGGUUUUCAUUAUCAAAUAUCUGUAUGAAGUGAAGUCUUGGUGAGUAUUCAUAAUGUCCUAAAACUUAAUGUCUUGUUCUAGAAAUGGCCUUUUUCAAACUCAUCAUCUUCCAGAGCCCCGCUGCACCUUUGUUUUGCUUUUAACAACCACUGUAUGUCCAGGAAGAAGCAACUAUAUGUAGACAAAGAUUCUUCUUGAUACAGUUGGUAUCAAACGUGGGAAAUGCAUUUAAAAUAUGACCUAGAAAUCGUGCUCAAGGAUUCAUACCUCAUAUCAUUUCAACGAAAGUAGGUAAUGCCUCUUCUGACAGAAAAGAAAUGCAAACUCACAUAGAAGUAAAUUGCCUUUAACCCAGACUUCAACAAAUUCCCACAAAUUAACCUACAAGGAAAAUAACCAUAUCACAUUAAAAAUAUUAAAAAUAUGAUGAAAAUAAAUCAACUAGCCAGGUAUGGAAACACAUAUGUAAAAUCCUAGCACUGAGGCCAAGGCAAUGAGACUGUGACCAUGAAGCCAUUUGGAGUCACAUAGCAAGACUAUAACCUAAUAGAUAAGUAAAUACUAAGACAAGAAAUUGUGAGUGAAAACAAUGAGUAAAAAUAAUCAAUAGCAGGACCAGCUCUGUAGGCAAUGUAUAUUCAUUACAUUCAUUAUAUUUAAAGAAGCAGGAAACAUGUUUUAAUAACAGUAAAAGAAAUAGAAAACUCAGAUAACCUAGGAAAAAGUUGAAGUGUUAAAUAACACUUGGAAGGCAGAACCUUCCAACUAUCUCUGUGUUACUACCCCAUCUCAGCACCAAGGCAGAUCUGUCACUGUUUUCUUAGUAAUGCUGUUAUAUAUUAUUUAGCUCCAGUCAGGAAGAGCAAGCAGUCAACUGGUCUACCUACUCUUGCUAUAAAGAAGCAAAAACUCACAUUAAUUUCCCAGUGUAUUUCUUCAGUUUACUUGUUGGUUCUGUUGUGAGAAAGUAUCUUCUGCAAAAGCCCCAAGCUUAUUGAUCCCCUUAUAUGUGUAUGACCAUAAUUUUCUGUUUUCUUAAUUCGUAUGUUCUCUACCCAAAAUUUCAAUUCCCAUGGUUAAUUUUGCAUUUUAAAUUGACUAGGCUGCAAAAGUAUAAAAGAGUAAGUUUAUUCGGCUUUCCUUUUGCAUGUUGAAUCAAAACGUAUCUGUGACAUUAUUUGCUUGUCUUUCCAAACUCAACAAAAAUGAAAUUAUUGGUUUUCUUGAUAUAGAGCAGUAUUCCUGCGACAGUCUUGUUUCUUUCUUGCACUGAUUCAAUACAAAAUAACAGUCAGACAUCUUAGCCUGCCCUAGGCUUGAAGUGUGCUAGACAAGAACACAAAGGACUUUAAUUAAAUUGCUGCAUUGAUGGUAGACUGACUUUUCUUCCAAAGGAAUGAGUGGCUCCUUUUCCAUUUGUUAUAGAUCAGAAGACGUUAGUACAGCAUUCUCCCAUUGAGGUAGAAUUAGAAAUGUAACAAAAACUAAAAGCAUUACAACUAUAUACAAACAGAUUAUAAAACUUUUAAUGGGACUGGAGAGAUAAUUCAUCAGAUAAGAGAAUUUGUUUUACAAGCAUGAGAACCUGAGUUCAGAUCCCAGCAGCUGCAUAAAUAUCUGGGUAUGGCUACAUGCCUUCUUGUAACUCCAGCACUGUUAGGAGUAAAGACAGGAAGGUUUCUAGGUUAUGCUGGAUGCCAGCCUAGCUCCCAAUUAGCUAUGAGAAUGAAGUAAUAAAGGGGUGAGAGACAGAAAAAGACAGCUGGUGCCUUCCUCUGAUCUCCAUUUACAUGUACAAGCAUAUAUACUCUCACACACACUUAGAUUCACCUCAAAUAUACAUACAUACAUACAUACAUACAUACAUGCAUACAUAUACAUAUACACUCAGAAUUAAAUUAUUCAUCUUUAUUUUUUUAAGAGGAAUGCAUGGAAGAGAAAUCUAGUAAAAAAAUCUAAAAUAGUAAUUACAAGGAACUUUCUCCUGAAAUAUAAAUGUAAAAUAAAUUAAUUCAACAAAUU
This 5145-nucleotide long non-coding RNA is filed under the name Mus musculus (house mouse). Its description in RNAcentral is "predicted gene, 32014". The record is from RNAcentral. Lineage: Eukaryota; Metazoa; Chordata; Mammalia; Rodentia; Muridae.